This 539-nucleotide ribosomal RNA is filed under the name uncultured Geobacteraceae bacterium. RNAcentral describes it as "bacterial SSU rRNA". It matches the Rfam family "Bacterial small subunit ribosomal RNA", at positions 9 to 526 of the family's 1533-position model. The record is from RNAcentral. Lineage: Bacteria; Pseudomonadati; Thermodesulfobacteriota; Desulfuromonadia; Geobacterales; Geobacteraceae.
GAGUUUGAUCCUGGCUCAGAACGAACGCUGGCGGCGUGCCUAACACAUGCAAGUCGAACGGAUUUGAGGAGCUUGCUUCUCAAGUUAGUGGCGCACGGGUGAGUAACGCGUAGAUAAUCUGCCUGAUGAUCUGGGAUAACACUUCGAAAGGGGUGCUAAUACCGGAUAAGCCCACGGAGUCUUUGGACUUUGCGGGAAAAGGGGGGGACCUUCGGGCCUUCUGUCAUCARAUGAGUCUGCGUACCAUUAGCUAGUUGGUAGGGUAAAGGCCUACCAAGGCUACGAUGGUUAGCUGGUCUGAGAGGAUGAUCAGCCACACUGGAACUGAGACACGGUCCAGACUCCUACGGGAGGCAGCAGUGGGGAAUUUUGGACAAUGGGCGCAAGCCUGAUCCAGCCAUACCGCGUGAGUGAAGAAGGCCUUCGGGUUGUAAAGCUCUUUCAGCCGGAAAGAAAACGCACGGGUUAACACCUUGUGUGGAUGACGGUACCGGAAGAAGAAGCACCGGCUAACUACGUGCCAGCAGCCGCGGUAAUAC